AACGAACGCUGGCGGCAUGCCUAACACAUGCAAGUCGAACGAGACCUUCGGGUCUAGUGGCGCACGGGUGCGUAACGCGUGGGAACCUGCCCUUAGGUUCGGAAUAACUCCCCGAAAGGGGUGCUAAUACCGGAUAAUGUCUUCGGACCAAAGAUUUAUCGCCUUUGGAUGGGCCCGCGUUGGAUUAGCUAGUUGGUAGGGUAAAAGCCUACCAAGGCGACGAUCCAUAGCUGGUCUGAGAGGAUGAUCAGCCACACUGGGGCUGAGACACGGCCCAGACUCCUACGGGAGGCAGCAGUGGGGAAUAUUGGACAAUGGGCGAAAGCCUGAUCCAGCAAUGCCGCGUGAGUGAUGAAGGCCUUGGGGUUGUAAAGCUCUUUUACCCGGGAUGAUAAUGACAGUACCGGGAGAAUAAGCUCCGGCUAACUCCGUG
Molecule: ribosomal RNA, 433 nt
Filed under: uncultured bacterium
Lineage: Bacteria
Description: partial 16S ribosomal RNA
Rfam family: Bacterial small subunit ribosomal RNA
Source: RNAcentral